This is a long non-coding RNA of Felis catus (domestic cat), 2434 nucleotides long. RefSeq lists it as uncharacterized. The record is from RefSeq and is a predicted model, not a curated record. NCBI's taxonomy places the organism in Eukaryota, Metazoa, Chordata, Mammalia, Carnivora, Felidae. The transcript has 8 exons.
UCUACCUCACUUCACUGGAAGAAUUUAAGCUGAGAACAGUAUGAUUAUCAUCACACCAGAUCCCUGAUAAGUCCAGGUGGUUGGAUUUGGAUGAGCUCUAAGGUGGCCUCCAAUUCAAAGACAAGGUGUUCUUUCAAUGUAUGGUCUAUGGCUUAGUUGGAGAGAACUCUAUGGAUAUGGAUGUACAGGAGGGACCUUUUGACCAAAUGGCAGAAAUGAUGGCAAGAACUUCUUAGCUCAGAACAAAGCUUCCUGGACUUUCUAUACCUCUCACUUUGUAUGCAGGCCACACAGAAGUCAAAUAUCUAGGCUGUCGGACAGUAAGCCAUGUGAAAGAGAAGGAAAUAACUCCUUGGUGGAUGUGAACUGUGAGGAAGAAUGAUGAUGCCACUCUAUGUUCCAUGACUCUGUACCCAGAGAAGUAACAGGACUUGAUCAAUGGAAAUGUUUGGUGGGAGGGGGAAGGGAUACUGGGGAUAAACAGUUAAGUGUGGGUCUCAUCUGGGAGAAUGAUGAUGUUUUAGCCCCAUGGUCCAUGGCUCUGAGCCCAGCAGGUGAGUCGGGGACAAUUGAUGGGUCCUGACACCCAAAGCAGUUGCAGUAAUUUUGAACUAUGUGCCAUGGCCAAGCAGCUCUCAGUGCUGCAGACAGCUUCAUUACCGUGGGCCCAUCCUUCACUUAGCAGCAGACCUUCUUCCAUCAGCCAAAGAUGAAUGAGAAAAUCACCCAGGCUCUACAUGUUUUCAGUAUUACCCUCUUUAUUUUGUCCAUACCAGGUUUGGUUUAUGUGUUCUGUUGCCUCCCCUCUGAACUAUGGUGCAGAAGGCCCCUGGCACCACCCUCCCCUCAAAUGAUAUAUAGAACGUGGACAAGAAGAUCUCCUCAAAGGACUUGGCAGAUGGGGGAUCUCAGCAGUAAUCAAAGAAUGACAGAGUGUGCCCUGGCUUGUCCAGGAAUAGGCAGAGGUUCAUUACAACAUUAAUACAUCAAAACCAGUUCCAUUCCCAUUGCUGAGCACAUAAUGAAUAGAACUCCCAAGAAUCAGAGUGGGCAACUAGCAGAGCUUAAUUUCCUGCCAGAAGAAGAAGACAUGCUUGCACUAUGGUUCCAGGUUCCAUGAAGUGAUAUGUUACAAGACAUAUCGAUCUGCAACAGAAUCUGAGCAUUUUUUUUCCAGUCAGUGCUCAUGAAAAGGAAGUACAAAGAGUAAAGAGAGUUAAGGAAGAGAGCCUACCCAGUGUGGAAGCCAAUAGCAUAAAGCACAGCCUGGGAAAGAAGAUGACACAGGAGAGAGAGAAAGACUUAAUCAUAAUGAAAUGAUGCAACUCAUGAAUCCAACCAUGGCUGAAGACAUAAUUUUUCUGGAGGUUUCAUUGAUGAGCCAGUCUCAGGUGAGAAAAUGGAAUACCAGCUGUCACAGGACCAACUUGGAGUCCGAGAAUUGAAUACACAAAAAAAAAUAUAAGUGCUCCCACCAGAAAACCAACAGAACAAAUCCUAUUCUACUCUGAGCUUCACAGUCAAAUUCAAGAUAUGUUGAGAAAAGCGAUGCAGGAUAGACUGAACUGACAACUUCUGAUAAGACAGAGGUAAGGAUAGAGAAUUUUACCGAGCUAAAAAUAGAGAUCCGAAGAAGAAUGGCAGAGAACUCCUAUGGGAUUCCGAAGGCUCCAUCUCUAGAUGUGACCAUGUUCUGAUCAGUUCGACAUUGAAAGAAUCAUCCAGCUGGUUCAUGGCCAAUUUCAAUAUGAAAAGAAACAGACUGCCAAGCUUAGAGUAUCCAGAGGCUCCAGGGAAUGAAAUCCACUAUUGAGGCCAUGAAGAAGAAUGAAAAUUGAAGGGAAUAGAUGGAGUUUUGCAGAAGAAAAACACAGUGAAUGGCUGCCAUGAUGUUCCAGGCAUCAUGAAAAGGCAGAAACAAGAUGGAUCUAUUCAUGCAGCGACUAUUUAUCAAAUCCCUGCUAUGGCUCUCAUUUCUCUAGGAUCUGGAACCACCUAGAUAAAACCUAGAAUUUCUACUCUCAAGAAACAUAUAGUUCAAUUAAGGAAACAAAUGGAUAAAAUUUGUUUACACAAGUAAGAAAAUUGCUCUUUAAAUAGUGACUUCUGUGAAGAUAUAUGCAAUUAAAAAUCUACAAAAAUCCCAAAACCACUUUCACUCAUUUAUCAACAGGUAAAGCCAAGAGAAAGAUCGUUAUGAACAAAAAUGUAUGGGGAAAGUUGGAAACUUUAUAAUCUUUUUAAAGGAAAUAAGAGGUCAAGAAUACAUAUAGGAAGAGAAAGUUAUAGUUCUGGUCUAAUUAUACUAUUUUGGAUAAAUUACUUCAUCUUCAUCUGUAAAAUUAGGCAUUAGGCUAAAUAAUUUGCUAAAAUUUCUUAGAUUUCCUACCAUUUUUAUUAUAACUAUUACUAUAUUUAAGUUUAUUUAUUUAUU